AAUAAUUGCAUUUUUUUAAUCAAUUUUCCACCACUAGUCACAACUAUUAACCAGCCAAGCCAACUCAAUCAGUAUAACCACAAAUAAUUUCUUGAAAUUAUUUUGAUUAUUUCACUUGACACCAAACAUUACGGUACGGAUCCAAGAAAAAGGCCGUACAAUAUGAUAAUACAAACAUAAUUUGAUACUAUUUUCCCGUAAUAACUACAAUUCUAGUGAACACGGAUCCAAGAAAAAGGCUGUACAAUAUGAUAAUACAAACAUAAGUUGAUACUAUUUUCCCGUAAUAACUACAAUUCUAGUUUUAUCCGUUCACACCCAAGACGACACACCACUUAUAAAUAAAAACGAGAAUUCUGAGAGCAUUUGAUGCUUAUUUGCACUUGUGGUAGCAGUAGCAAUAACGUCUAAAGAUGCUCUUCUUAAUACACAUACCCCUCUUUGCUCCCUCUUUCUCUUUGCAUUCUUCGUCGCAGUGCUCACUAAUAAAGCAAUAGCCAGAAAACGUCUUGCUCUUCCUUCGGCAAAGUUUGCCCUCGGCCGCUUG
Molecule: long non-coding RNA, 547 nt
Filed under: Nicotiana benthamiana
Lineage: Eukaryota; Viridiplantae; Streptophyta; Magnoliopsida; Solanales; Solanaceae
Description: long non-coding RNA (NBEN_LNC022306)
Source: RNAcentral